RNAcentral lists this transfer RNA (83 nucleotides) under Chrysemys picta bellii (western painted turtle). Its description in RNAcentral is "tRNA-Leu (CAG) (tRNA-Leu-CAG-4-1)". It matches the Rfam family "tRNA". Rfam says of the family: Transfer RNA (tRNA) molecules are approximately 80 nucleotides in length. Their secondary structure includes four short double-helical elements and three loops (D, anti-codon, and T loops). Lineage: Eukaryota; Metazoa; Chordata; Testudines; Emydidae. The record is from Rfam by way of RNAcentral.
GUCAGGGUGGCCAAGCAGUCUAAGGCACUGCGUUCAGGUCGCAGUCUCCCCCAGAGGCAUGGGUUCAAAUCCCACCCCUGACA